UCAUGAUAUAUGAAAAGGGUGAGAAAUUCAGAUUAAAUAUAUCAAUAGGUUGAUAUUAUCACUUGCUGAUUAUAUCAUAAGUAUCUGAAACUAAUCAAAUGUUCGUGUUUAUUUUUGAUGCGGUUAAACCACAGUCGUAAAUGCAUCAGCUAUUUGUCAAACCAAUUAAACUCUAUUUAUUCAAUGUGGUAUUUCCACUGAGGUUAGUUAUAGAUGCAAUAAAUCCAAUCAUUUUGACAUUUCCACCUAAUUAACAUUGAAAGGUUUCUAUACAUGAAACAUUUAAAAACAUUCCAUAGCAUAGUGUCAGCGUCCUUCGAGAGGGAACGGCAAAUCAGUUUUUAAUUAAUGUUAAACUCAGUAAAAGUGAUACUAUCUGAAGUAUGACUACAUUUAUCUGACAAAACAUAUGUUAUUGUCUUUUGAAAUUGAAAUUUCUUCAUAAUUAAAGAUAUAAAAGGGGCAAAUAGCACUGGCAAAUAGAGGAGUGAAGAAUUUAUUGGAAAAGCAAGGUGUGAUUAUUGCGACUGCGUUGCUUCUAAACAAGAACGUAAAAUGAGCGGGACCGCAAAAAUUUUUGUAAAUACUAAUGUACAAGAAGAUGAAAAAUGUCCAAAUAUAUCUAUAGGUCUGUUUUUUGUUCAUUAAUAUAUGACAAGGUAUAUAUUUUUGAUAAACAAAAUAUAUGAAAAGGGUGGGGUACUUGAUGUCUCAGCUGCUCACCCCUACCAAAAAAAGUUUGAAGUGGCCCCCCAGAGCGAUAUUC
Molecule: long non-coding RNA, 766 nt
Filed under: Mytilus galloprovincialis (Mediterranean mussel)
Lineage: Eukaryota; Metazoa; Mollusca; Bivalvia; Mytilida; Mytilidae
Source: RNAcentral